CAGUCGCCACGGUAAGACAGAGGAUGCAAGCGUUAUCCGGAACGAUUGGGCGUAAAGCGUCUGUAGGUGGCUUUUCAAGUCCGCCGUCAAAUCCCAGGGCUCAACCCUGGACAGGCGGUGGAAACUACCAAGCUGGAGUACGGUAGGGGCAGAGGGAAUUUCCAGUGGAGCGGUGAAAUGCGUUGAGAUCGAAAAGAACACCAACAGCGAAAGCACUCUGCUGGGACGACACUGACACUAAGAGACGAAAGCUAGGGGAGCAAAUGGGAUUAGAUACCCCCGUAGUCCCUGUCUCUUAUAC
Molecule: ribosomal RNA, 301 nt
Filed under: uncultured bacterium
Lineage: Bacteria
Description: partial 16S ribosomal RNA
Rfam family: Bacterial small subunit ribosomal RNA
Source: RNAcentral